Molecule: long non-coding RNA, 607 nt
Organism: Anneissia japonica
Lineage: Eukaryota; Metazoa; Echinodermata; Crinoidea; Comatulida; Comatulidae
Exons: 3
Source: RefSeq, a predicted model, not a curated record
AAAGGACCGGCACAUCGGUAGCAGAAUCACGGCGCAAUUCAGAUUCAGGACCGCCGCACUUCCUCUUGAUAUGCACAAACCAAGCUGCGAACAAAUAUUUUAAAAAAGUAAAGGUUUGCUCUGAAAACUGAGAAUUGCCAGGAGCCUAGGACUGUCACAUAAAGAUGUAAACUCAUGUACGGGGCCUAGCCCACACAUCAAAAGGUGCAAAACAUCACUGGGGUUAUGUUUUAAAGUACGAUGUGUAUACGUUACUAUGGUAACGCUUCAUGGUCAAGAUGGUUUUGAAUGUCAUCAAAAGUCAAGACAUAUUUGGACUAUCAUCGACAAUUCUUCAUUAGUACGCGUUGCAAAAAUUGUGAUCCAUGGUGAUACUUUCGAAACAGUUAACGAAGUCACUCUCCUGUCAUUGGAUCUGAUAUUUGGCCUGCAGACCAAGUUAUUAUACAUAGCACUGGACAGGCCCAGAUUAAAAAAUGAACAGGGUGUGCAGUAUGGUCUAAUGACUGGUAUUAAAGCAUUAACUAAUAAAGAAAUUAGCCAUACUAUAUAAAUAUCAUUAUCAAUAUCCGUUUCGAUGUUAUCGCCUGUUGUACUUCUUCAAUUG